AGAAGAAAGAAAGAAAGAAAUGAGAAGAAAUAAAGAAAGAAAAGAGAAGAAAAAGAAAGAAAGAAAAUGUAUUUUUAUUUUUAUUUUUAAAUAGGAUGGAUUAUGAUGAGAAUAAAUGAUUUUGUUAGUAUUAUAUAGUUUGUUUAUUGUUAUUUUUAUGUUUUUUUUAAUUUGUUUUAAAGUUAUUUUUUUUAGUUACUAUUAUAAAUUAUUUGUUCAGUUUAAUAUUUAUUGUGAUUUGUUAGGUUAUAAAUGUAAAUAUAUUAAUUU
RNAcentral lists this long non-coding RNA (270 nucleotides) under Gossypium raimondii (Peruvian cotton). Its description in RNAcentral is "long non-coding RNA (GRAI_LNC009949)". Lineage: Eukaryota; Viridiplantae; Streptophyta; Magnoliopsida; Malvales; Malvaceae. The record is from RNAcentral.